This is a long non-coding RNA of Vollenhovia emeryi, 2435 nucleotides long. RefSeq lists it as uncharacterized. The record is from RefSeq and is a predicted model, not a curated record. Lineage: Eukaryota; Metazoa; Arthropoda; Insecta; Hymenoptera; Formicidae. The transcript has 3 exons.
GGGUCUGUGUCUCGUCGCCGCUGCGCACGGGGCGCGUCCGUCCGCUGUGUGCCCGCGGUUCGCCACCACCGUACGCUCUCCUUCUCUCUCUCUCUUUCGCGCACUCUCCGCUCUCGGAGCACCGACGCUUUUCGAGGUUAGGCGGCGCACGGGCACUGAUCUCCGGCUAGUAGCGAACGGUCGCGAUCGCCGUCGUCGCGUGUACUUGGCGCCGUUGGUGUUGGUGUCGCGCGUCGUUCGCGCGUUGUACGUCGGCGGGCUCCAUGUUGCCGCCGGUGGUAUGACGUCAUCGAGUGUCGGUGGUGCCGCGCGUGUGUACCCGUCGUCGCCGUCGCCGUCCUCGCGCUCACCCGCCGUUGUCGCGCGCCGCCUGCAGCCCCGCCGCACGUCAUGCUGCUCUCGUGAUAAAGUUUAACGUUCCUCUCCCCCGUCUUUCCUUCUCGCUCGCGCGUUUCCGCCGCGUGUCUCUCUCUCUCUGUCUUUCUUAUCUCGCGUAACGCGGAGUGUGCAGCCGCCGCAGUCGCCGUCGCCGUCGUCGCCGCCGCCGCCGCCGCUGCCGAAAUCGCAUCGGCGGCCGCCACGGCGUGUGUACAUACGUGUGUAUGUGACCUCGCCGCUUCUCCCGCACGUCCUCCCUCGCUCUCGCGCUCUCUCUCUCUCUCUCUCUCUCUCUCUCUCUCUCUCUCGCUCGCUCGCUCGCUCUCCGUAAUCACCGUCGCUUUCCGCCGCCGCUGUCUCCGUUUUCCACGGACGGACGGACGGGACGCCCGCAUCGGGAGCCGCACCAGUCACCCGCGGUACGUCCGCACGGCUCUGCGAACCAGGAAUCAACGGCGAGAAACAUGGGAUCCUACGUGGCGUUCUGAUUCGUUGCCUGGCGAACGAUCACCUUUUGGAUUUUCUUUUCGCCACUCGCUUCUUCUCCUUUCGUGAGAAGACGACCCAGACGUACCGGCUUAGCGGGUCGCUGGUUUAAACGCUGAUUUAGAUUCCCGGGAAAAUCGGAAGAGGACACAUGUCUGAAGAGAAUUUCACGCUCGGUAAACGUGGCAUAAAUCGAGAGCUCGACUGAGAGGCCCGGGCUUCGCCCAGGCUCCGUGUAACUCGGUAAGCUUCUUAUUGUCGACAUCCGACGAUUUGAUCCGACGCUCGGGUCUGGUUUUGGUCUGGUCUGGUCUGGUCUGGUCUGGCCUGCGGUUUGAACAGCCCAAAAUGCAUGACGAUACUUACGACACUUUCAUAUCUAGUAUCGAUAUUUUUCAUUUGGCAGGAGUGUCCAAGUACCGCCGCGAAACAUUAAGAACCAAAAAAGAAAGAAAUUUUUCGUAUUGCGAAGACAGGGAAAGCUGUGUGAAAAAUUUUAAGAGGAAUUUAUAUAUUUUUAUAUUAUUUUGAAUUUAUUUUUGUUUUUACGUACUCUCGUCUCGAUUUACUUUGACUUGAGUUUACUGUAUAUUAAAAGAAAAUUAUAUCCUUCAGUUUUCUAAUAGCUAAAUAAAUUACGCCACGUCGAUUGCGCCAUUUUUAAUUUAAAUUGCAGAAAAAUAUUGUAUUUUUUGUAAAUAAGAAAAGAUAUUAGAAAAUUGCAAUGACUAUAUGUAACUGUAGCGUUUUAUGACAGUAGUGUAUUAAAUUUCCUACACUAUCUUCUCGAAAGCUACGCUUUUCGCAAAACUCCUUCGGCAUUUAUCCCGGUAGAUACAGUUAUGCCUGAAGGGUUUCACGUCAGGUAUCAUCCAUAAUCGCGAUGUACAGGAUCGCUUUUGCCGGGUGUCUAUGGUGUCUACCGUUCAGUUUCGGUGGUGCGCGUCUUUGCCGAGCGAGAAACUCGCUUAUCGUAGUCUAGACUGGUCAAAUUGGUAGGCCCCCAAGGACCGCCAAGAGGGAGAAUACCGAGGCGUAGCCAUCCGACAAACUGGUAGGGGGGGGAGGAGGACCCUGCGUAAGGAAUCCGUCGUGGCAUCCACCGCAUCUCAUGGUUUACGCGUGUCGACGAGAGGGAUCGUUAGCCGCGGUAUGCCAGACAAUAAUAAACAGUAAGCUUGCCACCGCCGCCGUCAUGGUUGAACAUUAGAAUCGAUGUAAUUGACUGGUGGCUCGUGUAAUCGUAAUUGUCGCUCUUUGCACCGAAAAACGAGCGAGACUCGCAAUUGGCCGAGCGAAAUAACAAAAUUCUACUGUAUCGUAUUCAAGCUAAUUGGAGAGAUUGGGAUAACGACGAGGGUGUGCGUUCGUGUGUGUGUGUGUGUGUAUAUAUAUAUAUAUAUGUGUAUAUAUGUGUGUGUUAACUGACUUUUGCAGUUCGAGACCGUUUUUAUAAAUGAGCGUCGACGUUGCCUUCUGUUUUUAUUUUAAUCCAGUUAAUAUUGUUCAACGAGUUAAACGAUUCUUUUUCACGUAUAACAAUGAAAGGGGGACAAUGGAAAUCAAUUUAG